This is a long non-coding RNA of Alosa sapidissima (American shad), 209 nucleotides long. RefSeq lists it as uncharacterized. The transcript has 4 exons. The record is from RefSeq and is a predicted model, not a curated record. NCBI's taxonomy places the organism in Eukaryota, Metazoa, Chordata, Actinopteri, Clupeiformes, Clupeidae.
AUCCGUUCCGCCAGCAAGAAAGCAUUCCAGGACGUGCCUGGAAGCCCUGUCUGUCAGCAGAUGUCACUGCAUCCACCACCUGCAUAUGAGUCAACACCACACAGGUAACCAGCUCAUUGCCCAGAGCUGGAUGGGUCUAUUAUAACGCCUGCCACUUCAUCUUGGGACCCAGUUAAAGCACAAGUGACUCAUCACACAGAGGGAGAUCG